AACUUAACUUUACUGUUAUUUGCUCUUGCUGACGUCAAACUUGAAGAGAACAAAAGUUUACCUGGAUGCUGUUCUCACAUUUCACUCUCAUUUUGUUUCUUUUUUCUCUUUUCAUGAACAGAUGUAUAGCUCCGCUUCAUAUUGUCAUCUACACAGUAAUAUCAUCAACAGUAAAAUGACGGGGAGGCGGGGCCUAACACAACUUGCGGAGUGACCGUAUAGGACGACCGGCCUUGGGAGGCGGGGCCUAACACAACUUGCGGAGUGACCGUAUAGGACGACCGGCCUUGGGAGGCGGGGCCUAACACAACUUGUGGAGUGAGCGUAUAGAGAUCGGCUGAUUGACCGUUAUAUUUCAAAAAGUGCUUUUGAAAGAAAGUUUGUUUUCAGCCCCCAAAAUCUUUCUACGGAGGAUUCUAAAAAUGGGAAACAUUAUUCUAAGGAUCCUAACUGAGGUGCUAAACUGGAUGGUAGGGAUGGGCAUGGCCGAUCAGCGUGAGGGUCAGCGUCAGGGUGAGUGUGAGGGUCAGUGUAAUGGACCUAUUUGCAACUUAUGUUUUGGCAUUUUCAACGGGCAGAUCUUUAGAUUUCAAUGCAAUCACAACUUUCACGGUCACUGUAUAGCACCCUGGCUAAGACAGUUUAGAAGAUGCCCUAUUUGUCAUCAAGCAAUUCAUAAUGGAAUAUGAUCAAGCCUUCUGCUCCUCCUUUCCACUCAGAUACUCAGUUCUGACCACGAGAACAACGAUUGACCACUUGAGCCCGCACACAGUCCAGGAUCCAGCUGGAAAUGGGCUCUUGGUGACUUGAAGGACAUGUGGAUGUAAUGAAGCAAAAGAAAGUUGGUAGGUGAAGAAAACCUAGUCAAGAAAGCUUAACAAGCUCAUGGUGAUGAAGCAGCAGCAACGUUUUUACUCCUGUUUCUGUGCAGAAGGCAGAAAACACAGCAAAGGGUUUACAGCAAAACUCAAACAUCUUCAUCAGGCCAAUGAUGACUACAGAAAUGGACACAGGUUCUUGUACAUUCAUGUUUAAAUGUGUCUUCUACCAAACUCUUUCAUUUGUUUUUGUCUCAGUUCCUCCCAUAUGGACGUUUCCCUCUUUUCAAAGGCAGACCCAUCCGAUGUGAUAAUCCAAUUUCAUAUAAACCAAUUUCAAUCAUUUGUACUGUUGCAAAAAGAUGCAUGUAUUUUAUCUUUAAUCAAUUAUCACAAUAUAUUAAUUUGUUAAAUUAGUUUAACCAGAGCCCAGACUGGCUUUAGACCUAACUUUUUCUCCACUAAUGCACUUCUAAAUUAAAAAUAGUGUGUUCUCUUCCUAAACAUAAUUAUAUUGGUUUAUCUCAAAGUGCUGUCUUCUGGUUUAAAUCAUAAAUCUAAAUAAGUAGAUGCCAGUAUGGUGUAUUUAAAGGUUGAGAAUCUGAAUAUUAAACGGUUGAACAAGGGGAUCCAAAAGGCUAUUCUCAGGGAUUACUUCUUUGUUUUUUGUUAAGUUUUUGUUUUUAUUAAUGAUUUGCUUAAAAUGUGUACAAACUGUUUAAAUAACCUUUAUGUGGAUGACACUGUUAUUAACAACUCUAAUUCUGACCUAUGACAAAUAAAGAAUUCUUUCAGAUCUAGUUCA
Molecule: long non-coding RNA, 1623 nt
Organism: Tachysurus fulvidraco (yellow catfish)
Lineage: Eukaryota; Metazoa; Chordata; Actinopteri; Siluriformes; Bagridae
Exons: 8
Source: RefSeq, a predicted model, not a curated record